Molecule: unclassified non-coding RNA, 332 nt
Filed under: soil metagenome
Description: partial contains 5.8S ribosomal RNA, internal transcribed spacer 2, and large subunit ribosomal RNA
Rfam family: 5.8S ribosomal RNA (bases 1-120)
Source: RNAcentral
GAUGAAGAACGCAGCGAAAUGCGAUAAGUAGUGUGAAUUGCAGAAUUCAGUGAAUCAUCGAAUCUUUGAACGCACAUUGCGCCCUUUGGUAUUCCUUAGGGCAUGCCUGUUCGAGCGUCAUUUAAACCUUCAAGCUCAGCUUGGUGUUGGGUGACUGUCCGCUUCACCGCGGACUCGCCUCAAAAUUAUUGGCGGCCGGUACAUUGGCUUCGAGCGCAGCAGAAACGCGAACUCGGGCCCGUCGUAUUGGCUCCCAGAAGCUAUCUUCACAAUUUUGACCUCGGAUCAGGUAGGGAUACCCGCUGAACUUAAGCAUAUCAAUAAGCGGAAGA